GAUCAUGGCUCAGGAUGAACGCUAGCGACAGGCUUAACACAUGCAAGUCGAGGGGCAGCGAGGGCGUAGUAAUACGCCUGUCGGCGACCGGCGCACUGGUGAGUAACACGUAUGCGACCUGCCCCCUACAGGGGUAUAACCCGUAGAAAUGCGGACUAAUCCCCCAUAGUCCUGGGUGCUGCAUGGCAUUCAGGGGAAAGGCCAGCCGGUAGGGGAUGGGCAUGCGGCGCAUUAGCUAGUUGGCGGGGCAACGGCCCACCAAGGCGACGAUGCGUAGGGGUUCUGAGAGGAAGGUCCCCCACACUGGUACUGAGACACGGACCAGACUCCUACGGGAGGCAGCAGUGAGGAAUAUUGGUCAAUGGGCGCAGGCCUGAACCAGCCAAGUCGCGUGAGGGAUGACGGUCCUACGGAUUGUAAACCUCUUUUGUCGGGGAGUAACGUGCGGGACGCGUCCCGUAUUGAGAGUACCCGAAGAAAAAGCAUCGGCUAACUCCGUG
RNAcentral lists this ribosomal RNA (500 nucleotides) under uncultured bacterium. Its description in RNAcentral is "bacterial SSU rRNA". It matches the Rfam family "Bacterial small subunit ribosomal RNA", at positions 15 to 507 of the family's 1533-position model. The record is from RNAcentral.